UACGUCUUCACAAGUGGAUGCCAAGCUCUUGGGUGUAGAUCUGCAUCUAAUCAGAAAUAUGGAGUUUCAACAUGCCAGAGAGAUGAAUGUUUGAAGCUGUCACUUCAGGCUCGGUAGAGAAAGAAACAACAUGGGUAUUAUGGAGGCUUUAGGCGUGUGGGCAAGAGCCUCAGAAGGAAAGCCACCCACCCUAUCAAGUCAGGUCAAGCCAGAAGCACAC
Myotis lucifugus (little brown bat) is the source of this 220-nucleotide long non-coding RNA. RefSeq lists it as uncharacterized. The transcript has 3 exons. The record is from RefSeq and is a predicted model, not a curated record. NCBI's taxonomy places the organism in Eukaryota, Metazoa, Chordata, Mammalia, Chiroptera, Vespertilionidae.